Drosophila obscura is the source of this 1242-nucleotide long non-coding RNA. RefSeq lists it as uncharacterized. The transcript is spliced from 4 exons. The record is from RefSeq and is a predicted model, not a curated record. Lineage: Eukaryota; Metazoa; Arthropoda; Insecta; Diptera; Drosophilidae.
GUUAUGGCCCGGCAAAAGCGGAAAUCAAAUUAAGCGAAAAUAUGUUCUUCCAAUGAGUUUUUUGUCCUCUCAGCUACUGCAUUAAAUUAAUCAAUUUAACCAGUGGACAAGAGGAAUGGAUUGAAGGGCAGAGACAGCCUCGCGUCCGAUCGGGCCACACCAUUAGCAUGAUUUAGUGCGGCGACCCGACCCCGCGGCUUCAUUAGCAUAAAACAGUUCUUAUGGCCAUUCUAGGAAACCGCCCCAGCCCCCCCCCUGCCCAGCAGAAAACAACAAAACAUUUCUCCCAAAUACACUUGGGAUACUGGAGAUCAGAGUUGGCCUGGCCUGGUGAGAGCGCGGCAGCGGUUACUGUAUAAUUUUUAUGAUAUUGCCCGAUUGUCUGUUCGGGGGUCUGGCUUUAUUUGUUUUUACUGUCAAACCUCUGGCUGGGCAAGAAACAUUUAAUACUCAAUUAAUUCAUCAGUGGGACUUGGAACGAACCGUCAGUCAGGCAGUCAGUCAGUCACUCAAUCUUCUCAGUCAUCAAAAUUCGUUUGCUUUUUAUGAUUUCGGGCGAAAUUUGUAUGUGUGUGUGUGUGUGUGUGUUUUUUUCGAUUCCUCAUUCCUUAGUGUGUUUCUUUUUUCCCUGAUUUCGAAUUCCAUCUUUAUUGGUUCAGCACCAUUAAAAUCCAUCACCCAAAUGGAAUAGAUCGCCCCGUUCUUGAUACUGUUGGACCCUGUUGCCCGGGUGUUGGGCGCACCAUUGGAAUAUGACACAUGGCAAACACCUCCUCUUUAAUUUCAGAGAUUGUUGGACCUUCGGCAGCAUAUGUUCAGAGCGGUCUGGAGGCUCACCGCGAAGUUUGUGAAAACGGAUCGCUUUACACACGGCUGGGGGCUGUCCUGCAUAAGGCCUGGAACUGGAAAACCCUGGAAAUGCAUAAAACAAGCAACAAAUUUUCGGAGCUGCAUUCACAGUUGGUUGGGAGUCGAUUGACCUCAAGGACCCCGUCAAAGGAGAUCGGGAAGGUGAUCAAAUAGUUCUUGGUGUGUCAUAGCUCAUACUUUUUGCCUUAAUGGUGGCCGUCAUCGAGAAGAUUCGCUGAAUUGUCACUUGGAUAAAGAAUUUCCACAUCCCCCACCUCACUGAAAAGAGAUGCAUCUUUGCAAAAUUGCCGUUCUGCCACCAGUCUAAGCUAAACAAAUGCUAAAAUAUGCCCAACAUAUUUUGAAAAUAUAGAACUAACCAAAAAAAUAAAA